GUCUAUGGCCAUGCUACCCUGAUCCUGUCUGAUCUUGGAAGUUAAGCAGGGUCGGGCCUGGUGAAUAUUUGGAUAGGAGAAUACCAAGGAAGACCAGGUGCUGUAGGUG
Molecule: ribosomal RNA, 109 nt
Filed under: Pteropus alecto (black flying fox)
Lineage: Eukaryota; Metazoa; Chordata; Mammalia; Chiroptera; Pteropodidae
Source: RNAcentral